RNAcentral lists this long non-coding RNA (648 nucleotides) under Zea mays. RNAcentral describes it as "long non-coding RNA NONZMAT003061". The record is from RNAcentral. Lineage: Eukaryota; Viridiplantae; Streptophyta; Magnoliopsida; Poales; Poaceae.
GUCCUUCGUUAGAAGGACAUUCUCUAACUCGGUUAGGAUAAUCGAGUUGGAGUUUUAUCCAAAACCGAUUUGUAUGUUACGGUUAGAUCGCACCCUGAUCGGGGGCGCAUACCAAUCCAUGGUUGUGGUCCCUGGUCAUAAGAGACGCAAUAUAAACUGAGGCAGGGCCGACAUGAAAGCCAAUGCUCUCGUGCUUCUGAAAAACCCUAGCCACCACAUUUUCCACAGAGGGAUCCCAUCUUUCAAUGACUCUCAGUUACCGGAAACACCAUAGCUAUGGCGACAUCGGAGCCCAUGUCUCCUUUGUCACCAGUCUCCGUGGAAACUUCUACUACUAAUCAUGGACAUGACAUCAUCGAUGGACACAUGCAGGAGCCCCCCCCUCGACACCAACAAGAUGGAGGAAGAGCGCCAAUGCAGGAUGCGAUGGCGUUGGCAAAUGUAGCGCUCAUCUUAGGACAAGGUAUGAUGACAUGUGUUUCCCUUCCCUCUCAACCUAUCAGAUUAGAAUCAAAACUUGUUCAUCCUUAAGGUUGUAAUCAGGUUGGCAAAUUAGGGACCUCAGGCUGAUUCUAAGGUCUUAGAAAUUUUAUCAUCCUUUACCAUACUUGUAUCUAUAUUUUUUGUUUAUUAAUAUAUUUCAACUUU